Molecule: ribosomal RNA, 366 nt
Filed under: uncultured bacterium
Lineage: Bacteria
Description: bacterial SSU rRNA
Rfam family: Bacterial small subunit ribosomal RNA
Source: RNAcentral
UUGUACGUUUGGGAUUAACUUCAAGGAAACGUGGGGCUAAUACCGGAGUAGGAGCUCCUGCUGCAUGGUGGGGUUGGAAAGUUUCGGCGGUUGGGGAUGGACUCGCGGCUUAUCAGCUUGCUGGUGGGGUAGUGGCUUACCAAGGCUUUGACGGGUAGCCGGCCUGAGAGGGUGACCGGCCACAUUGGGACUGAGAUACGGCCCAGACUCCUACGGGAGGCAGCAGUGGGGAAUAUUGCACAAUGGGCGGAAGCCUGAUGCAGCAACGCCGCGUGCGGGAUGACGGCCUUCGGGUUGUAAACCGCUUUCGCCUGUGACGAAGCGUGAGUGACGGUAAUGGGUAAAGAAGCACCGGCUAACUACGUG